Molecule: RNA transcript, 4483 nt
Organism: Tupaia belangeri chinensis (Chinese tree shrew)
Lineage: Eukaryota; Metazoa; Chordata; Mammalia; Scandentia; Tupaiidae
Gene: POGK
Gene name: pogo transposable element derived with KRAB domain
Exons: 5
Source: RefSeq, a predicted model, not a curated record
UGAGCCAAGGACUUUCCUGCUGCUUAAGUGGCCCUGGGACCUCCCAAGGUCAUCGUCCUGUGUCAGACACCAUCACUGACAGGAAUGGAGACCUCGCUUCUGCAGCUGAUUCCUGUUUGGAUGGUACUGGCUAGGAGAAAGUUCUGCUUUUGUAUGUUUUCAAUUUAUUUUACUCAUGAUAGCCUAGGCCCUCCGGAGGCCUUCUCAGGACCCAAACCCCUUUCAUCAGCCCUGUGUGUCUUGUGUUCAGAUCUGCCCAGGGACACAAACCUGCAGUUGGCCGUGUGGCUUCCAGCACUGUGGGUUCGGUUUGCUGUGGAAUGCACCACUGCGGUUGGGCUGAAAGUUCUGCCAGUUCAAUACCCCGUUUAAAACUUUCUGAAUAUUUACCCUCUGGCCUCGGUUCUGCCCUUCGGUCUCUGAACUAGUCUGGUGUCUCUUCCAGAUAACUUUUUAAAUAUUUGAAGGCAACCUGAUGUUAUCUAACCACAGCCCCCCUUAUCACUAAAUAUGUCACCUUCCAGCUUCCUGGUGCUUUCUCUGAAGCCCUUCCACCCAGGCUGGACUCUGUUCUCUUUUUCAUUCCAGCCAGAGCAGUCCUGGGGGUUCAGGAAUGGCCGAGCCUCCCCCACCACCAGCCUGAAGAGGUCACACUGAGGCCUGGUUUCUCUGAACUGAAUCUUGCCUGCAGACAUGGAGUCCACAGCAUACUCUCUCAAUCUGACCCUGAAAGAAGAGGAGGAAGAAGAAGAAAUUCAGAGCAGGGAACUAGAGGACGGCCCCGCGGAUAUGCAGAAGGUCCGGAUCUGCUCAGAGGGCGGAUGGGUCCCUGCGCUGUUUGACGAGGUGGCCAUAUAUUUUUCUGAUGAGGAAUGGGAAGUUUUGACGGAGCAACAGAAAGCCCUCUACCGGGAAGUCAUGAGGAUGAAUUAUGAAACCGUCCUGUCCCUAGAGUUCCCAUUCCCGAAGCCAGACAUGAUCAGUCGUUUGGAAGGGGAGGAAGAGUCUCCGAAUUCUGACGAGUGGCAGCUACAAGGAGGGACCUUUGCAGAACACGAAGACGCUGACGUGAAGCCUCGCGACUGGGCAGACUCGGUGAACGCCGCCUCUCACCUCCCCCAGCCGCAGCCCCUGGACGGCUUCGGGCUCCGUCUGCCCCGGGACCUCUCGGAGCUGCCCGAGUGGAGCGAGGGCUACCCCUUCUACAUGGCCAUGGGCUUCGCAGGCUACGACCUCUCGGCCGACGACAUCGCCGGCAAGUUUCAGUUCAGCCGGGGCAUGCGCCGCAGCUACGACGCCGGCUUCAAGCUGAUGGUGGUGGAGUACGCGGAGAGCACCAACAACUGCCAGGCUGCCAAGCAGUUCGGAGUCCUGGAGAAGAACGUCCGGGACUGGCGUAAAGUGAAGCCGCAGCUGCAGAACGCCCACGCCAUGCGCAGGGCCUUCCGGGGCCCCAAGAACGGGAGGUUUGCCCUGGUGGACCAGCGCGUGGCCGAGUACGUCAGGUACAUGCAGGCCAAGGGGGACCCCAUCACCAGGGAAGCCAUGCAGCUGAAAGCUCUCGAGAUCGCCCAGGAGAUGAAUAUCCCCGAGAAGGGGUUCAAGGCCAGCCUGGGCUGGUGCCGCCGCAUGAUGAGGCGGUAUGACCUGUCCCUGAGGCACAAAGUGCCCGUGCCCCAGCACCUGCCCGAAGACCUGACGGAGAAACUCGUCACCUACCAGCGCCGCGUGCUGGCCCUGCGCAGGGCGCACGACUACGAGGUGGCCCAGAUGGGGAACGCCGACGAGACGCCCAUCUGCCUGGAGGUGCCGUCACGGGUGACUGUGGAUAACCAGGGCGAGAAGCCCGUCCUGGUGAAGACGCCAGGCAGGGAGAAACUGAAAAUCACAGCGAUGCUCGGCGUCCUGGCUGACGGGAGGAAGCUGCCCCCGUACAUCAUCCUGAGGGGGACCUACAUCCCCCCCGGGAAGUUCCCCAGUGGCAUGGAGAUCCGCUGCCAUCGGUACGGCUGGAUGACCGAGGACCUGAUGCAGGACUGGCUGGAGGUGGUGUGGCGGCGGCGGACGGGCGCGGUGCCCAAGCAGCGAGGCAUGCUGAUCCUGAACGGCUUCCGGGGCCACGCCACCGACUCCGUGAAGAGCUCCAUGGAGCGCAUGGACACCGACAUGGUGAUCAUCCCGGGGGGCCUGACCUCGCAGCUGCAGGUGCUGGACGUGGUGGUCUACAAGCCCCUCAACGACAGUGUGCGGGCCCAGUACUCCAACUGGCUGCUGGCCGGGAACCUGGCGCUGAGCCCCACCGGGAACGCCAAGAAGCCACCCCUGGGCCUCUUCCUGGAGUGGGUCAUGGUCGCCUGGAACAGCAUCCCCAGCGAGUCCAUCAUCCAAGGGUUCAAGAAGUGCCACAUCUCCAGCAACCUGGAGGAGGAAGAUGACGUCCUGUGGGAGAUCGAGAGCGAGUUGCCGGGCGGAGGGGAGGUCCCCAAGGAAUGCGACACUGAAAGCACGACCGAGGGCCGCUGAGGACAUGGUGAGAGGGCCGGUCCGGAGGAGCUGCUCAGGACCUCGCGGGGCAAGUGGACCUGUGACUGGAAGUUGGGGAGCAGUAUCCUCAAGAUCAUUCUGGAAGUGUGGACACACAGGGGCCCACAGAAGGCCAGGGAGCCAGACAGUGGCCCGUGCAUCCCAUGGCGGACACAGCCCAACCCCACCCCACACCACUGCGUGGCAGAAGAGUCGAGGACCCUUAACUUCAUCAGUGCACACGGACAGACAUGAGUAGGACAGACACUACUGCUCCGGUUUCUUGUUGGGAGAGACUCCGUUUAUCCACCCUGUUGACGAAACCUGUACAUAGGAACAAACACAGCUGUUUCCUGGAGGAGAGAUGCUGCUCGGUAUCACCACGCUCACCCGGGCCCGACUCUGGUGGUGCCCAAUGGAGACGACCUUAAGUCCAUGUUUAAUUCUGCCUUUGAAAUGCUUCUGGAAGUAGAGCCUGUCCCCACACAGGUCACGACUAGAGAGGGCUUCGUUAGGGGCGUGUCGCCGGUGUGCACCUGCUACUUCAUAUUUUCUCUUGGAAAAAUGCGAUGCUACUAGUGCUGACAGCGGCAUUCAGACUGGCCUGGUACCAGGAGGUGGCUCUUCUGUAGACGCACUAGGCGAGUAUGGCCAACACAGGUUGAAAUAAACAGUGCUCUUUUAUUUAUCCUAUCUGGUUGGCAGCUAGGUGUCUUUAGGGUCUUCUCUAAUGGCCCUUGGUUAUUAAGUUUAAUGAGAGGGCAGCAUUGAGUAAACAAAGCUCUGUUUCCCCGGCUGCCUGCAGAAGUCGCUCUAAAUUAUCUGCUGUGUACAUGGUACAAAGCCCACUGACUCAUCUGAUGCUUGUUCAUUUCUUUAUUAUUUCUAUCACAAGGGCAGCAGGAGGGCAGCAGGGCCUUUGCCUUUAGCCACAGCUGUCUCAGAUUUCUAACCUUCUACUCUGUGGGAUAGGUGGGAGGUCACUGAGUUUUUAUACGUAGUAACCUGCAUUCCACGUAGGUCGAGUUUUACAGAAACAUUCCUUAAAGCUAUCUGCUACGAAAAGCCUGCCAGAACCUCGGAGACAAAGCCAUUGCUAGGUCCAGUCUGGGUAGCGGGCUGCAUAGCCACCCUCCCUCCCUCCAGACUCAGCUCACCUACAUGAUACAAGCCGUUCUUGGCAUCUGGAGACACCUAUUUCUACUCAGGUAUUCAUUUUCCUGCUAGUGACUCACCUUUCUGAUCUCUAAGCCAGCUCAGCCCCCAAGGGGAAGCUCGCCUCCCUGCUGUCUGCGUGUCGCUCGGUGUUCGCACUGUCUCCCACUUGCUUUAACUCGUACCCUUGGUCAUCCAAGUGGUCUCAACCCAGCUACCUUGCAUUCCAGAAGCUUCCAUCCAUUCUCAUUCUACUUGAUUUUUCUUACACGGCCCGCUCUUUCCUUCAUGGCGUACAUGUUUGGGGAGCUUAGAAGACUUUACAAGACCUUAUCUUGGGCUCCUGCCUUGGAGCCUAGUUUCCUUGCUGAGAAGGGUAGAGAAGGGGCCCGAUCCUGUUUCAUUCCACCAGCACCUCCUCGCGUCUUGUCACCGGCUGAGCGGUGAUGCCUUACAGGUUGCAGAGCGCCGGGCCUGUUCUAGAGCAGCAGCUCUCCGGUCAGGGCUUUUCUGGGCUCACUCUUGCGCUGACUGAAUUAUGACCUCUGCCUAACAGAGCCUGAGUGCAGAAUGGCUGUUCCCCUAGAAUCGCGAGAGCACACGGAGACAAUAGUUGUACUCCCCCGUAGGUAGGAACUGACCCAACAAUAAACUUUGAUAAUAAAGACGGUAGACCAUGGUGGUUUUUACUUACCUAUUGACAUUGUGAAAGUUUCAUUUCAAGCUGUUGCCUACACUUUAUCCUCCAUCCAAUUUGGAAUAGAUGACACCCUUGAAUCAAAUAAACUUCGUAGGAUGCAAUGUA